RNAcentral lists this ribosomal RNA (394 nucleotides) under uncultured bacterium. RNAcentral's name for it is "partial 16S ribosomal RNA". It matches the Rfam family "Bacterial small subunit ribosomal RNA", at positions 523 to 918 of the family's 1533-position model. The record is from RNAcentral.
AUACGGAAGGUCCAGGCGUUAUCCGGAUUUAUUGGGUUUAAAGGGAGCGCAGGCCGGUGUGUAAGCGUGACGUCAAAUACAGCCGCUCAACGGUUGUCCGCGUCGCGAACUGCAUGCCUUGAGUACGCUGCAAGUGGGCGGAAUUCGUGGUGUAGCGGUGAAAUGCUUAGAUAUCACGAAGAACUCCGAUUGCGAAGGCAGCCCGCUGUUGCGUCACUGACGCUGAGGCUCGAAGGUGCGGGUAUCGAACAGGAUUAGAUACCCUGGUAGUCCGCACUGUAAACGAUGGACACCCGCUGUGUGGCCUUUUUUGGUUGCGCGGCCAAGCGAAAGCAUUAAGUGUCCCACCUGGGGAGUACGCCGGCAACGGUGAAACUCAAAGGAAUUGACGGGG